Molecule: transfer RNA, 75 nt
Filed under: Pedinophyceae sp. YPF-701
Lineage: Eukaryota; Viridiplantae; Chlorophyta; Pedinophyceae
Description: tRNA-Thr
Rfam family: tRNA
About the family: Transfer RNA (tRNA) molecules are approximately 80 nucleotides in length. Their secondary structure includes four short double-helical elements and three loops (D, anti-codon, and T loops).
Source: RNAcentral
AGCCUAGUUAGCUCAAUUGGCAGAGCAUCGGUCUUGUAAACCGAAGGUUAUCGGUUCGACUCCGAUACCGGGCUU